CCUACGGGGGGCUGCAGUGGGGAAUUUUGGACAAUGGGCGAAAGCCUGAUCCAGCCAUGCCGCGUGCGGGAAGAAGGCCUUCGGGUUGUAAACCGCUUUUGUCAGGGAAGAAAUCUUUCGAGCUAAUACCUUGAGAGGAUGACGGUACCUGAAGAAUAAGCACCGGCUAACUACGUGCCAGCAGCCGCGGUAAUACGUAGGGUGCGAGCGUUAAUCGGAAUUAGCGGGGGCAAAUGUUGAAGAGGGGGUUGAAAUCCCCGGGCUUAACCUGGGAACUGCACUUGUGACUGCACGGCUGGAGUACGGCAGAGGGGGAUGGAAUUCCGCGUGUAGCAGUGAAAUGCGUAGAUAUGCGGAGGAACACCGAUGGCGAAGGCAGUCCCCUGGGCCUGUACUGACGCUCAUGCACGAAAGCGUGGGGAGCAAACAGGAUUAGAUACCCCUGUAGUC
This 450-nucleotide ribosomal RNA is filed under the name uncultured bacterium. RNAcentral's name for it is "partial 16S ribosomal RNA". It matches the Rfam family "Bacterial small subunit ribosomal RNA", at positions 338 to 795 of the family's 1533-position model. The record is from RNAcentral.